UGUCAAACCUGAAUUUUUAUUUGCCCCUUUUGCUCCUCCAGUGUUCGCGGUCAUCCGUGACAUGUUCCCGCCCUCCGGGGACGAGGCACCCGGACUUCAAACCUAUCAUGGAUCCCAGUUCUCACAAGUAUUUGGACAGACAACGCAAAUCAUCAGACAAGGGGUCAACGAGGGGACGAGGCGGAGGUCGUGACACGGGAUACACCAACGGGGGUAGGGGAAGCGCUCGCCGACCUCCACCGGACCAAGCAUCCUUCAGCUGAGGUCAAUAUGGACACUGGUAUCGUCAAUGUAAUGCUCCCCCAUUGAUGCAACAGAGACCUCCAGUGGGACCCGGAGAGGCCCCACCUCAAAGAGGAGGCUACAGAGCUCCACGCGCCAGAGGUGGACGCGGCCUGGCACCCUGGCAAGAGCAUCUGCAGCAGGCUCCACA
Molecule: long non-coding RNA, 433 nt
Organism: Phyllopteryx taeniolatus (common seadragon)
Lineage: Eukaryota; Metazoa; Chordata; Actinopteri; Syngnathiformes; Syngnathidae
Exons: 3
Source: RefSeq, a predicted model, not a curated record